UACGGAGGGUGCAAGCGUUAUCCGGAUUCACUGGGUUUAAAGGGAGCGUGGGUGGCUUUGUAAGUCAGUGGUGAAAUCUUAGAGCUUAACUCUAAAACUGCCAUUGAUACUGCUUAGCUUGAAUCACGUCGAGGUGGAUGGAAUAUUACAUGUAGCGGUGAAAUGCUUAGAUAUGUAAUAGAACACCGAUUGCGAAGGCAGUUCACUAGGCGUGUAUUGACACUGAGGCUCGAAAGCGUGGGGAUCAAACAGG
Molecule: ribosomal RNA, 253 nt
Filed under: uncultured bacterium
Lineage: Bacteria
Description: partial 16S ribosomal RNA
Rfam family: Bacterial small subunit ribosomal RNA
Source: RNAcentral